This 993-nucleotide ribosomal RNA is filed under the name Myxidium gadi. Its description in RNAcentral is "SSU rRNA". It matches the Rfam family "Eukaryotic small subunit ribosomal RNA", at positions 54 to 1084 of the family's 1831-position model. Lineage: Eukaryota; Metazoa; Cnidaria; Myxozoa; Bivalvulida; Myxidiidae. The record is from RNAcentral.
CAUGUCUAAGUUCAUAUCGAUUUAAAAGAUGAAACUGCGAAGGGCUCAGUAACUCWGUUAUCGUCCGUUCGAUCAUACAAGCCAUGGAUAACUGUGGCAAAUCUAGAGCUAAUACAUGCAAAUUCCGACAGCAAUGUUGGUGCAUUUAUUGGACUGAACCGACAGGAGUUUACUCUUGCAGGUGAAUCUAGAUAACUUUGCAUAUCGCACGGUUUUACCGGUGAUAGUUCGAUCGAAUUUCUGCCCUAUCAACUWGUUGGUAAGGUAGUGGCCUACCAAGGUUGUGACGGGUAACGGGGAAUCAGGGUUCGAUUCCGGAGAGGGAGCCUGAGAAACGGCUACCACAUCUAAGGAAGGCAGCAGGCGCGCAAAUUACCCAAUCCAGACAUUGGGAGGUAGUGACGAGAAAUACCAAAGUGUGCCCUAAAAGGUUUCACUAUUGGAAUGAACGUAACAUAGUACCUUCGCUGAGUACCUACUGGAGGGCAAGUCUGGUGCCAGCAGCCGCGGUAAUUCCAGCUCCAGUAGUGUAUAUCAAAAUUGUUGCGGUUAAAACGCUCGUAGUUGGAUUACAAAAGUCUGGCGUCAAUUGAGCAUUAGUUUGGUUGGCGUCGGGCUUUUUUAUCGCAAGAACCACUUGUGCACUUUAUUGUGUGUGGGUGGCCACUUGCGGAGCGUGCCUUGAAUAAAGCACAGUGCUCAAAGCAGGCGUAACGCUUGAAUGUUAUAGCAUGGAACGAAUAACCUGACCUAGUUCAGUUAGUUGGUUCUCUGAACCGGGUCCUGAUUAAAAGGGACAUUUGAGGGCGUUAGUACUUGGUGGCGAGAGGUGAAAUUCUUAGACCCACCAAAGACUCACUAAUGCGAAAGCAUUCGCCAAGAAUGUUUUCAUUGAUCAAGAACGAAAGUUAGAGGUUCGAAGACGAUCAGAUACCGUCCUAGUUCUAUACAGUAAACUAUGCCACCACGGGAUCAGUCCGGAAAACGAUCCAG